AGGGAAUCUUCCGCAAUGGACGAAAGUCUGACGGAGCAACGCCGCGUGAGUGAUGAAGGUUUUCGGAUCGUAAAACUCUGUUGUUAGGGAAGAACAAGUAUCGUUCGAAUAGGGCGGUACCUUGACGGUACCUAACCAGAAAGCCACGGCUAACUACGUGCCAGCAGCCGCGGUAAUACGUAGGUGGCAAGCGUUGUCCGGAAUUAUUGGGCGUAAAGCGCGCGCAGGCGGUUUCUUAAGUCUGAUGUGAAAGCCCACGGCUCAACCGUGGAGGGUCAUUGGAAACUGGGAGACUUGAGUGCAGAAGAGGAGAGUGGAAUUCCACGUGUAGCGGUGAAAUGCGUAGAGAUGUGGAGGAACACCAGUGGCGAAGGCGACUCUCUGGUCUGUAACUGACGCUGAGGCGCGAAAGCGUGGGGAGCGAAC
Molecule: ribosomal RNA, 426 nt
Filed under: uncultured bacterium
Lineage: Bacteria
Description: bacterial SSU rRNA
Rfam family: Bacterial small subunit ribosomal RNA
Source: RNAcentral